AGUGAACGCUGGCGGCAGGCCUAACACAUGCAAGUCGAGCGGCAGCGGGUCCCCGCGAGGGGAUGCCGGCGAGCGGCGGACGGGUGAGGAACACAUCGGAAUCUGCCUGGGUUGUGGGGGAUAACGUAGGGAAACUUACGCUAAUACCGCAUGCGACCCUGAGUCGACGGACUGGGGGUGAAAGUGAGGGACCUUCGGGCCUCACGCGACCAGAUGAGCCGAUGUCGGAUUAGCUAGUUGGCGGGGUAACGGCCCGCCAAGGCGACGAUCCGUAGCUGGUCUGAGAGGAUGAUCAGCCACACUGGGACUGAGACAC
Molecule: ribosomal RNA, 316 nt
Filed under: uncultured bacterium
Lineage: Bacteria
Description: bacterial SSU rRNA
Rfam family: Bacterial small subunit ribosomal RNA
Source: RNAcentral